CUGCACAUUUACUCUGCUCUGCUCCCUCUGAAGUUUGGUGCUUUGAGUCAUUUGUUGGAAGAUCAGUCAGAAAAGAUUCAGAAGGAGGAAAUUAUUCUCCACAGAUGGAUUUCAACCGAGGCUAAAGGGCCUACUUUGUCUUUAUAAAUGUUGCAACAUCAGAUAUGCUGAGAAUUCUUCAGAUGGGAGGUGGACACGUAUCUGGUGACGUCAGCUUCCUGCUGGUUGCAAAGACCUUCCACAUUAGCCGUCACACAGCAGCAUCUCUUUGUACAAUCACUGAGCAUCGAUAAUUCCCAACUCCUCAAGAUCCCCAUGGUAUCUCUUCGAUCUACUUGCAGGAGAUUUAGAAAGUACGGAUUUGCAUUGGAAGGCUGCUGCAAGGGCACUUUACACACUGGUACCAAC
Long non-coding RNA from Rhincodon typus (whale shark), 408 nucleotides. RefSeq lists it as uncharacterized. The transcript is spliced from 3 exons. Lineage: Eukaryota; Metazoa; Chordata; Chondrichthyes; Orectolobiformes; Rhincodontidae. The record is from RefSeq and is a predicted model, not a curated record.